Molecule: long non-coding RNA, 319 nt
Organism: Dreissena polymorpha
Lineage: Eukaryota; Metazoa; Mollusca; Bivalvia; Myida; Dreissenidae
Exons: 3
Source: RefSeq, a predicted model, not a curated record
AAUAAAUCGUCUGCUGAUCCAGAGUGAUUCUGCCACUGGUCAGACGCUACAGGUGACUGUGCCAGUGUCAUCUCGCGUGCAGAGAAGAAGUUGUGUAUAAUUAUGGUGCAGGACCAUAUCCAUGGAGGAAAAAGUUCGAAAAGCUGUGACGUUAUAGUAUCCAAGCCAGGCGUGAGACCAGUCCAUUGCCUGCUUGAAGUUAACAACGGAAAGGACAAGUUUGCUUUAUACACUGAUGUUGGAGCUUGGGGAAAGCCACUUUACUAUAUUACCCAGCUCAGGCAGUCUGCAAUACUCAAAGAAGUGAGGACUUUGAGGU